AUUUUUUUUCUAGAAAAAGCAGGAAUGCUGACCCUUCCUGCUCAGAAAUUUCAGAUGCUCAUGGACUCUCUUAGCUUAUAAAAGCUGGGUUCAGUGAUGCUCUCUGGUCUGGUGGUGGGGCACACUGAUUUUCUACUUAUUUCAACUAGCACUGUUCCAUAAAAUCAGGUACAUUUAUGUCACUGAGAUCUAGUUUUGCAGGGUGAGGAGAUGUGAAUCCUUCUGGAUUGAUACAGAAGACCCACCUAUAUUUUGGGAUCCUCACGCGAAAACAUAUCCUGCCAGCUAUCAGACUAACUCAAAAUGAAGUUCGUGUUCCUUGCUGAAGCUUCCUAGGACCUGAGCUUCCAGCACACACUGCUCAAAAGCACAGGGAAGAUUGUCCUGUGUCUGCUUGCAUGGCACCAGCUCUGCCUCUCUGAAAAGCCAUGAAGCUCACAAAACUGCAGAGUGGAUGUGGUUUACAGCAAAGAUGCACUCUGCUUUUAUUACUUCCAAGGCUGAACUAGUUUGUUCUUAUAUUUUUCAUGUGCCUUCCCUUCUGUUUGUACCCUAUUGUUGCACCAUGGAACUGUAUGUGAAAGCAGAA
Tympanuchus pallidicinctus (lesser prairie-chicken) is the source of this 589-nucleotide long non-coding RNA. RefSeq lists it as uncharacterized. The transcript is spliced from 2 exons. The record is from RefSeq and is a predicted model, not a curated record. Lineage: Eukaryota; Metazoa; Chordata; Aves; Galliformes; Phasianidae.